GAUGAACGCUGGCGGCGUGCCUAAUACAUGCAAGUCGAGCGAACAGAUAAGGAGCUUGCUCCUUUGACGUUAGCGGCGGACGGGUGAGUAACACGUGGGUAACCUACCUAUAAGACUGGGAUAACUUCGGGAAACCGGAGCUAAUACCGGAUAACCUUUGGAACCGCAUGGUUCUAAAGUGAAAGAUGGUUUUGCUAUCACUUAUAGAUGGACCCGCGCCGUAUUAGCUAGUUGGUAAGGUAACGGCUUACCAAGGCAACGAUACGUAGCCGACCUGAGAGGGGGAUCGGCCACACUGGAACUGAGACACGGUCCAGACUCCUACGGGAGGCAGCAGUAGGGAAUCUUCCGAAAUGGGCGAAAGCCUGACGGAGCAACGCCGCGUGAGUGAUGAAGGGUUUCGGCUCGUAAAACUCUGUUAUUAGGGAAGAACAAACGUGUAAGUAACUGUGCACGGCUUGACGGUACCGAAUCAGAAAGCCACGGCUAACUACGUG
This 497-nucleotide ribosomal RNA is filed under the name uncultured bacterium. RNAcentral describes it as "partial 16S ribosomal RNA". It matches the Rfam family "Bacterial small subunit ribosomal RNA", at positions 28 to 507 of the family's 1533-position model. The record is from RNAcentral.